Haliotis rubra (blacklip abalone) is the source of this 536-nucleotide long non-coding RNA. RefSeq lists it as uncharacterized. The transcript has 4 exons. The record is from RefSeq and is a predicted model, not a curated record. NCBI's taxonomy places the organism in Eukaryota, Metazoa, Mollusca, Gastropoda, Lepetellida, Haliotidae.
UGGUUGAAAGGAGUAAAGGCAAUGUAUGAAAUAAGGCCUGUCCGACCGCCCGAGAUGGGCUACAUUUCUGACAUACUGUCUCAAUUUACAGCCAGCCAGCCUGAUUGUCUGGUAAAAACUGUAGAUGUUUCAUACAUCUGAGUAAAUUCACCAGAUCUUGGUGUCUGGUCUGGUUAUAUCCAUUUUGGGCUGGUAACAACUUUUUGAAGUUGCCAGCCCUGAUGUGUGCCUGGUAUUUUUUGGCUUAUUUCAUACACUGCCAAUAUCAACACUGGUCCAUCCAGUCAUAUCUGUUGGUCUUGUUUAGAGCCCGAUAUAUCAGACAUGGUGGUAAAUGUGAACCAGUAAUCCCACACCUUAACACCAACAGAUCAAUGUCCGAACUGGUCCAUCCAGUCAUAUCAGUUGUUCUUGUUUAGAGCCCGAUAUAUCGGACAUGGUGGUAAAUGUGAACCAGUCAUCCCACACCUUAACACCAACAGAUCAAUGUCCGAACUGGUCCAUCCAGUCAUAUCAGUUGUUCUUGUUUAGAGCCC